AUGGACCUACAACAUUCCCCCCUGCCCAACAACCCCCUGCAGGUGAAGGAGCACAUGUGUGAAUGACAUUUUGACAGUGUUUUUGAGCACUAUAAUUCUCUCUGAUAGGAAAUGUUUGGGAUGCCAGGAUGAAUAUACCCCUUUUUCCACAGCAGGACUCUGCUCGCCUGGCCUCGUGCAAUGUCCACUUCCAAACCUGCAACAGCUGGAGGGGGAGAGAGGGAGGAGAGGUGCUCUGCACGCACACAGAAACAAAUAGGCCCCCCCAUAAGUGCAAAUACUCCAAUUAAGCCCAUCUGAGACAAAUCCAUGGACCUGGGCUACGGACCAGGACAGAAUCAGGACCAAAUAACUGCAGAAUGGAUGGACCUCUGGCCUGUUGUUGCCUUGGUGAAAAUAUAGGGGAGAAAUAACAAUACAGUAUUACACCGUAAAGCUAAAUGAAAUUACAGAGAAAUGCUCGCUAUAUUUUAUCUAACCAUUUGGAAAGGAAACCCUCGUUCUAUUUUAAAUACCAGCUCCAUGAGUAAAAUUGUUGCUUUUGAGAGGCAAAGCAGAGAUUAAAUCAAAAUAAGACAGGAAUGUCUGGUGAAAUGAGAACCCCGAAGGUUUGGAGAUAAUAUACACAUUGGCCUCCAUCCAUCUACCUUAAAAGGUGAAGUCACUAGGUCACCCGUAGUGCAGUAAUAUGCUGACAGGCAGUUCAUCUCAGAUGGGGAUGUUUUGGUGUGGAGAUGUCCAUCUCUAAUGGUGGACUCUAUCUGCAAUUCUCCAUCUGUUGUUUGGGUUUGAAUAGUGGUUGUUGAGGAGAGACAGGCGCCCCGGACUGAUGCUGAUCCGCGUCUUCGUGCCACAGCCAGACAGAACCCCUCUGCUCCCCUCUCUCCAGUCCGUCACCCUCUCCCUCUCCUGACAUGUUCCAUGCUGUUAUGGGAAACCCUGCCAAGUGCCCCCUGGACCAAACACAGUCCUAGAGAGACAGUCUGUAUAAGUCCACACGAAGUCACUCCGCAGCACUUGGCUGGAAAUAAAAAUCCUCUGGUCCAGAGUACACACUCA
Oncorhynchus kisutch (coho salmon) is the source of this 1059-nucleotide long non-coding RNA. RefSeq lists it as uncharacterized. The record is from RefSeq and is a predicted model, not a curated record. The transcript is spliced from 2 exons. Lineage: Eukaryota; Metazoa; Chordata; Actinopteri; Salmoniformes; Salmonidae.